This 3487-nucleotide unclassified non-coding RNA is filed under the name Leishmania donovani. RNAcentral describes it as "gene:LdHU3.27.1000(CDS-product:ras-related_protei n_RAB1A_putative)". The record is from RNAcentral. Lineage: Eukaryota; Euglenozoa; Kinetoplastea; Trypanosomatida; Trypanosomatidae.
AUUUUCUCAUACCCCUUCUAGAAGUCACGCUCUCCUGUGCUUUGUCCUUUUUUUUAUUGCGUCUCACGAUAGCCUUGCUCCUGCGUCGUUGUGCCGACUCGCCUCUCUCACCAUCUCCCCGCUCUGUACUUCACACCUCUGCCUAUCUGUCACGCAUUCUCUGUCAAGUGUGGUUGAGCGGCUCAGCACAGGCCCCAUUUCUUUCUCGCGUCCUCUCUUCUUUUGCCCACAUCAAGCCUAUUUCUGUCGAAGCAUCUCCUCCGCCAUUUUUUUCAACCGUCUCGUUCUCCCUACACGCAACGAUGACCGCUGAGUACGACUACCUCUUCAAGCUGCUGCUGAUUGGCGACAGCGGCGUCGGUAAGUCCUGCCUGCUCCUCCGCUUCGCCGAUGACAGCUACACCGAUAGCUACAUCUCCACCAUUGGUGUCGACUUCAAGAUUCGCACGCUGAACCUGGAAAGCAAGGUAAUCAAGCUGCAGAUUUGGGAUACCGCCGGCCAGGAGCGCUUCCGCACCAUCACGAGUAGCUACUACCGUGGUGCCCACGGCAUCAUCAUAGUGUAUGACACGACCGACAUGGAGAGUUUCAACAACGUCAAGACGUGGCUGAGCGAAAUCGAAAAGUACGCAAGUGAGAACGUCAACAAGAUCCUCGUCGGCAACAAGUGCGAUUUGGUCACAAAGAAGGCCGUCGAUACGCAGAUGGCGAAAGACUUUGCCGACUCCCUUGGCAUCCCGUUCCUUGAAACGAGCGCCAAGAACUCCACAAACGUCGAGGAAGCCUUCAUUCAAAUGGCAUCUGGAAUCAAGGCGCGCCUGGCUGUGAGUGGUGAGGUCAAAUCUGCGUCCCGUCCCAACCUGCAGAACCCCCCAACGGUGAAGAAGGAAGACAGCUGCUGCUAAGCAUUGCGAGAUACGGGCACGAUACACAAAGGGACGGGCCGCCGCAGAGUGGGGGGAAGGGUCGGGAGUUCCCCUGCCUUCUCUCGACCCGAGGGACGUUAACUCUCCCGUGAUCUGCGGACAAAAGCGCGGCGUCGAGGAAAGGUGGGCGGCAUACGACGCCAAUGGUGCACUGAAGGUGAGCGAAAAGGCACGCAGGGAUGCGUCGCUCUUCUUGAGCUGUGUCGUGAUGUGUCGGUGGCCGUUGUCCUCGGUUGAGUGAGAGGCGCGAUCGUGUGUUCCCCCUCCGCGCCACCCCGGCACAAGUGCCUGCGGGCUGCUUGUAGGCACGUAUGCGUCCAUGGGUGUGAUCCCAUCGUUGCGUGACUGUCCGUCUACCCCUCCCCUCCCCUCCCCCCGUAUGCCCAAGCUGGAAGAGGCGGACACGGACGCGCACAAUGCUGUGGAGACUCGAGAUGAGAGUUUUGAAGCGAGACAGAGAAACCGUCAAUGCGUUUUUACUUUUUUGAGCAGUCUUAUAUCCAUUUGCGUCGCUGAUGGUUUUCUCCUCUCUUAGGCAAUUCCCCUGACGCGCUGUAUACGCUGGCGACUCACGAAAACCCACACGAGGGGCUCCCCUGCAGAUGCAACUGUCCUGUGUCAUGUACAAAACACAGAAAAAGGUAUGAAAAAGCAGAGAAGGAAAAAAAAGAAAAAAAAACAAAACAAAAGAAGCAUGAAGGAGCAUGAAGGAGCGGCUUCACGACGGGAAGCGGGGCACCUGUGGUAUGGAUGUUCGGUGGCAAGAAGUGUGUUUGAGCGUAUAUCUCCGUGCGUCUGUGUGUGUGUGUGUACACGUCCAACAGAGUCUCGCAAGGGUCGGAUCCCUUCUACCUCCUUCCCCUUCCCCUCCCCCUCCCCCCCUCGCCGGACUCUCCCCGCCCGCUGCUGCGUUCUCCUUCGAUGUCGAUCGUUUGUACAUCGUCUUUUCUUUUCGUGCUUCAGUAUUGGGAGGAUGGGCGUUUUUUGUUUUGUUGUUUUGUUCUGCUCCCGUUUUGUUGAUUUUUGUUGCUUCCUUUACUUUGUUUUUACGUCCUGGGCGCUCCCCUCUGUCGGUGCGUGUGUAAGCUUGCUUCUGUGUUCUUGCGUUUGAGGAAUAGUGAAGGGAGUGAAACAUCUCUAAAUGGUGUGCGCUUCAGGUUGUCUAUUUCGUUGCAUCGUGUGCGCACGGGAGAGAGAGCGCCCCCCUCCACUCUCUGCCACAUACGUACAAAGAGGGAAAAAAGGAGGUGUGUGAAAAUAUUCGGCAGGAUUGUUGGCAGAUGCGCCUUGGAAGGGAACCGGUGCGGGCGGCGGGGAAGAGUGUCAGGGUGAGAAGGGUGGAGAGGGCCACAGCGAUGGUGCUACAACAAACAACGGAAGGUGUCUCUCCCUCUCUCUCUCUGCUUGUCACUCAGUGUGUGCGUGCAAAAUGGCGAGAUAUCAGUUGUGUUCGUGUGUCUGACUGUCACCCUUCUUGAGUCCACCACCUCCCGAGCUCUACAUCCCUUCCCACACAUGCGCGUCUUCCGUAUUUUUGUUCGUCCGAAGAUGAAGUUGUGUUAGCACUUGAAAAGGAAAGAGUGAUGCGCCAUUCCUUUAUUUGUCGUCACGCCGUCUGCGUUUGUUUUUUACUGAUUUCGUUUCUGUUUACGUCGUCAGUGUCUCUUGGCAGUUGUGUGUUCAAUAUAUAUAUAUAUAUAUGUGUGUGUCGGCUCCUCUUUCGAGGAAAAAAAAAGAAAAACGCAAAACAAUCGCACGCAACAAGCGCUGCACGAAACUCUCUGCCUGCCUCGGACGCUCUGUCUGUCUGUCUGUGUCUUCUGUGCUUUUUCUUUUACUUGGCGGGUCGAGUCUCUGUUCCGCUCCUCCCCGAUCCGUGUGCGCUUGGGCGUCCCCUUUUCUUUGCUUUUCGGCUCACUCGUUGUUUUACGUCAUUCUCUAUUUUGUGCUACCAGUGUAUGCUAGUGCCUGGUUGUGCGUCUGUGUGUAGGUAGGUGGACGCGCGUCUGCGGGCGCAUGGGUCCUUUGCUUGUAUGUCUGCGCCGGCGUGCGUCUAUGCGUCUUCCCCUUGUCAUUCUCCUCCUUUCCCCCUCACUCAAAAAAGGGUAGAGAGAGUUCGGCCACCAUUACCAUAUAUAUAAGGGAAGAAGCGAGAGAAAAACACAGAAGUGACAACAGAAAAACGCUCUUUUUCCUCCUCCCCACUCCCCAGAGAAAAGGAAAAACAACAGCAGAUUUUGAAUAACAGAGAAGUGAAACUCACGUCGGCAGUGACAGUGAUACGCAGCAGAGCAUUAUGUUCACGAGAGUAUGUGGCUGGACGUGUGUGUGUGUGCUGAGCGAUAGGAAUACACGAAAAAAAAAAUAAAGAAGAAAAGGAAGCACUGAGGCAAACGAGGGAGGGGGAUGUGGCAGCAUUCUAGUGUGAUGUGUACGCAACGCCCUCUUUUUUUUUGUAUUCAUCUCCUGCCCCUCUAACACUUACCCCCGGGCCCUCCCCUCACCUCCCUUCCCUUCCUUCUUUGGUGCUUGACGGGCCUCCUUCAGGAAAGCAGGCUGAC